RNAcentral lists this transfer RNA (72 nucleotides) under Exiguobacterium sp. PBE. RNAcentral describes it as "tRNA-Arg". It matches the Rfam family "tRNA". From Rfam's summary of the family: Transfer RNA (tRNA) molecules are approximately 80 nucleotides in length. Their secondary structure includes four short double-helical elements and three loops (D, anti-codon, and T loops). Lineage: Bacteria; Bacillati; Bacillota; Bacilli; Caryophanales. The record is from RNAcentral.
GGGCGGGGAGCUCGGAGGACGAGUACCAGAUAUCUAAUCUGGAGGACGUGGGUUCGAAUCCCACCCUGCCGU